GGAAGGAUUCUGGAUCAGCACCAUGAUGCAAACUCGUAGCCACUGUGUAUACAGUAUUCUGGAAAAGGUGCUGUAUUCAGCUGACAUGAUGAUGCUGCUCAUCUUCAUCUCCAGCUGUGUGGGUGGAGCAGCAGCAGAGGUGGAGGCUGAGGGUGGUGUGGAUGAUCAGGAGCUUCACUCUGAGUCCUGACCUCCUCCUUGUGCUUCAGUGACUUCUGCCUCAAUAAUUUGGUCACCAUGGCGACCAGCUGGAUGAUUGGAGUCCCUCCUCUCACUUUCUGAGGAAAAGGAGGAAACUGAGAUUCUGGGUUCAUCUGAUUCUCAGCAGCAGACAGAAUUUCAUGGUUUGAUCCAGAAGUUGAAACUUUCGUACAUGUUUCAGGAUGUCAGUGGAGCCGGUGGAGCUUUUGUUACCAGAGAUGGGAUCAGAUCUGAGGAGGCAGAUGAAUCAUUUCAGAGAGUGUGUCGAAAGUUGUGUUUUCAACACUGGUGUGUUCGAACUGUGAGCACCCUUUUAGCUAAAUGCAGUGAUCUGAUUGGUCAGAUCUGUUUAUUUGUACACAAAAAUCAGGAAAAUCAAACUUUUACAGGAAAAAGUAAAUGCCUCAAAUUU
Molecule: long non-coding RNA, 613 nt
Organism: Oreochromis niloticus (Nile tilapia)
Lineage: Eukaryota; Metazoa; Chordata; Actinopteri; Cichliformes; Cichlidae
Exons: 4
Source: RefSeq, a predicted model, not a curated record